This 431-nucleotide ribosomal RNA is filed under the name uncultured bacterium. Its description in RNAcentral is "bacterial SSU rRNA". It matches the Rfam family "Bacterial small subunit ribosomal RNA", at positions 39 to 473 of the family's 1533-position model. The record is from RNAcentral.
GGAAUUCGAUUCAGGCCUAACACAUGCAAGUCGAGCGGGGUUUUCGGGCAUAGAGGCGGACGGGUGAGUAAUGCGUAGGAAGCUACCCGAUAGAGGGGGAUACCAGUUGGAAAGGACUGUUAAUACCGCAUAAUGUGAUACGGAUCAAAGUGUGGGACCUUCGGGCCACAUGCUAUCGGAUGUGCCUACGUGGGAUUAGCUAGUUGGUGAGGUAAUGGCUCACCAAGGCGACGAUCCCUAGCUGGUUUGAGAGGAUGAUCAGCCACACUGGAACUGAGACACGGUCCAGACUCCUACGGGAGGCAGCAGUGGGGAGUAUUGGACAAUGGGCGCAAGCCUGAUCCAGCCAGAGGCGCGUGUGUGAAGAAGGCCUUCGGGUUGUAAAUCAAAGGCAGUAAGGAGGAAGCGUUGAGUGUUAAUAGUACUCAGCG